AUUUUAAGCCUUUUAAUCUAAAAAUGACUCCAUAGGUAGCGGAUGGAGUUGCCCCCUACUUUAUAGAGAAGAUUGAGGCCAUUCAACUUGAACUUCUCAAAAUUGCCUUGCCUCCAUUUUCUAUUUUCUGUCAAUACCUACCCUUUCCUGCUUCCUCCUAUCUUGAAAGAAGCAUCUUUCCUACAUUCCAAGACUAACCUUUUUGCUAUGCUUUUGUUCUCAUCUCUUCCUGUCUUUCCUGGCAUCUCCAUUUUCAAUAUUUUUCUUUUCAUUGAUUCCUUCCCAGAAUUCGAUAGACAUAUGUAAAUUUUCUAGCCUAUAAAACUUUUGUUUAUCCUAGCUUCUCUAUCAAAUUGGAAUACCAUCUUUCUAUUUUUCUUCAGUAUUUCCAUUUGUAAUCUGCUUUUGCUGUCUCUAUUUUCUUACCUCACAUUCACUCUUUAAUAAUUUUCAAUCUAGCCCCUACUUACAUUAGUUUAUGUGAUUUACUCUUUAUAAAAAUGGUCUUCUAAUUAAUAGGUCUUGUGGCUUCUCAGUUAGCAUUUUGCUUGACCUUGACAAUGGUCAGCACAGAUGGCUACUUCUAUCUCUCCUGAUUUCUAGGUACUUAAUGCUAUUAUUCUUAUGCAUCCCUGGCCAUAUUUUUUCAAUAUUCGUUCAUGCUCACUUUUGCUGUUCACUCCUUUAUCAUUGCCCUAUCUUUUCAUUCUACAUCUUUUCUACAUCUUAGUUCCCUCUAUGAUUUCAGAUUCUUUAUAAUAUGUUUUUGCAUUCUUUACUGCUCCACUGAGUUUCAGAAAAGUUUAUCCAAAUUCCUGUACCUAUAUCCAAUUCAACAUGUUACAUCUCUGAGUUCAUCAUCUACACACUUACUUAAUCUACCAAACCUUCUUCUCUUCCUUAUUUUCCUUUCCUAAGUUAGUGUCAUUAUCCUCCCAGAUACUCAGGCUAAAACUCUUCCAAUUAUCUUCAACUUUCCCUCUUCCUGUCACCCUCUCAUGUCCAGUCAUUACCCAACCAUAUGAUUUGAUCAUGGAAGCAUGUCUUACCCUUCCCCUUUCCUUUCUACUUCUUGUAAGGUAGUUAUCUCCCACUUAGUCUACUUACAAUGAUCCUAACAUUGUCUCGUCC
RNAcentral lists this long non-coding RNA (1131 nucleotides) under Oryctolagus cuniculus (rabbit). RNAcentral's name for it is "lncRNA (ENSOCUG00000037587.1)". The record is from RNAcentral. Lineage: Eukaryota; Metazoa; Chordata; Mammalia; Lagomorpha; Leporidae.